Molecule: ribosomal RNA, 899 nt
Filed under: Staphylococcus aureus
Lineage: Bacteria; Bacillati; Bacillota; Bacilli; Caryophanales; Staphylococcaceae
Description: bacterial SSU rRNA
Rfam family: Bacterial small subunit ribosomal RNA
Source: RNAcentral
CCGCAUGGCGUGUGCUAUAAUGCAGUCGAGCGAACGGACGAGAAGCUUGCUUCUCUGAUGUUAGCGGCGGACGGGUGAGUAACACGUGGAUAACCUACCUAUAAGACUGGGAUAACUUCGGGAAACCGGAGCUAAUACCGGAUAAUAUUUUGAACCGCAUGGUUCAAAAGUGAAAGACGGUCUUGCUGUCACUUAUAGAUGGAUCCGCGCUGCAUUAGCUAGUUGGUAAGGUAACGGCUUACCAAGGCAACGAUGCAUAGCCGACCUGAGAGGGUGAUCGGCCACACUGGAACUGAGACACGGUCCAGACUCCUACGGGAGGCAGCAGUAGGGAAUCUUCCGCAAUGGGCGAAAGCCUGACGGAGCAACGCCGCGUGAGUGAUGAAGGUCUUCGGAUCGUAAAACUCUGUUAUUAGGGAAGAACAUAUGUGUAAGUAACUGUGCACAUCUUGACGGUACCUAAUCAGAAAGCCACGGCUAACUACGUGCCAGCAGCCGCGGUAAUACGUAGGUGGCAAGCGUUAUCCGGAAUUAUUGGGCGUAAAGCGCGCGUAGGCGGUUUUUUAAGUCUGAUGUGAAAGCCCACGGCUCAACCGUGGAGGGUCAUUGGAAACUGGAAAACUUGAGUGCAGAAGAGGAAAGUGGAAUUCCAUGUGUAGCGGUGAAAUGCGCAGAGAUAUGGAGGAACACCAGUGGCGAAGGCGACUUUCUGGUCUGUAACUGACGCUGAUGUGCGAAAGCGUGGGGAUCAAACAGGAUUAGAUACCCUGGUAGUCCACGCCGUAAACGAUGAGUGCUAAGUGUUAGGGGGUUUCCGCCCCUUAGUGCUGCAGCUAACGCAUUAAGCACUCCGCCUGGGGAGUACGACCGCAAGGUUGAAACUCAAGAAAUUUGACGGG